CUGUUCCCUUAUAGGUCUUAUUUCGAACGUAUGUUUUCGUUCCUGUUGAGGGCAUAGGAGUAGAAUUAUUGGACCAUUAUGAGACUUGGAGGCUUAAAUUCUGGAGAAAUGGUCAAUGUGGUCUGCUUCGGUGUAACUGCCAGGGAGCCUGCCUCGGCUCCCAUUAGCUUGGAGGACUGAAAAUAAGCGUCUGCUUCUCAGUCAGGGAUGCGAGAGUGUUUAGAGUGUUAGCCUUUCCUCUGCCUCCAUACAAAGCAUUUUAUCAUUUCGGGUUUCCAACAGAGGUUCCUCCUCUCUGUGUCAACACAUACUGCUUUUCGUUCCAGGCUCCCCCUUGGUUUAGGUUGCCCCUUGAUUACAGUUCCUUCUCCAUGAGCUAAGGGGACAUUAGCUCUGAUGAUGGCACCUGGUCACACUGGCAAGCUAACAGCUGAAAAAAAUCUGGUCUGAAUUAAAGCUUUUCCUUUUUAAAAAAAUACAGCUCUUAGGAAGUUUAAAGCAACGUGCACCCCAUUUCGAGUCUGUCUGUCACACAGAUGUGUGUUUCCGGGGUGGGCACAAUGUCACAGAAGUAUUGCUACAUUCAUUAUUUCCCAGUUAUGAACAGAGCCAUCCCCAACAGCCUUCUGGGAAAUGACGGAAGCACUGGAGAAGAAAUUAGAGCUAAGGAAUUGAGGAUCUCAGUGUGAGAUGGGUGUGAAGCUGGCCUUGCUCACCGCAAAGCCCAAGCCUCUGUUACGCCUCUGUUUUUCCCGUUCGCUGUUGUUCUAUUGGAAAGGUCAAGGCAUGGGUCACCCAAAAAGUGUCAGGAAUGGGUUCUGCCUUGUGAAGUGAGCCUUAAGUCAAAUCAGAUAUUGGUUGGUUACUUCCACAGACUUUGUGUCACCAUUGUACACUAGCCCAUUUUGCAGGACACCAACGUAGAUUAAAGGGUACCUACAUUUGUUAAUGUCAACUAUCCAAAUACUAUCCCAGGCAGACGGAAUAGACAGACAAGGUGAGUAAGUGCUGUGGGUUCCCAGAGGCAGCCUUACUUGGGUGAGGGAUUGGUAAGGCAAGGCUUGACCAGGAAGGAGAAGAAAGAGAUGAAGGAAGGAAGGAAGGAAGGAAGGAAGGAAGGAAGGUAGGUUGACUAGUUGUGAGUAAGCCUUCGUUAUGCCAGCUCUCCUCCUUUAUGUAUCAGUAAUGAAUAUAUAUAUGUAUAUAUAUGUAUAUAUAUAUAUAUGUAUAUAUAUAUAUAUAUGGAUCAAUUUUCCAAUUACUAGGGAAGACAACUCUGGAACAUAUAUACUUUAUAGACAAUCAUGGUCUAUUGUAUAAAGAUUCUUUUUUUUUAGCAUUACUGAUACCACUCAAUAUCUGAGACGAAAUAAAUGUAUUUGUAUUUUAUCCUUUUAAGUGCACUUCAGAACCUUCUGGCUUCCUGGGCAGACACUUGGGUUUGCUGAGAAGGAGAAUCGUUAGGAGACAUAAGAGCUACUUAUUUUUUCAUGGGACGUGUACAUAAACCUUACACCUGUAACGUGACCGAGUGGCAUGAAUUUCCAGGGCUUGUUUUUGUGUCCCUGGCUGGGGGACUCCGUGCUUUCUCUAACCGCAGCCAGGAGUUGAAUUGAACUACUUGCUGGUGUCAUAAAUAAGCGAGGGUGUCAUGGCAGUUUUCAUUUGACUGAGCAGUAAUGGAGUUAAUUACACUUUCUGCCUCUUUGUUUUCGAUCUGUGUUUCCAAAGUCAACUAAGCUGUAGGGCAGCUUCUUUUUAACCCUUCCCUCGUCUGACUAGAUUGUGGGGCCCCCACGCUUAGGAGUCAUUAAUCUUUUAGAAUUCCCCCUUCUCAUUUGUGAUUUUUUUCAGAUUAUGUUUUGUCAUAAUUCUCCAAAGAAAUAGGGACAUCAAAAGCAUUAUUUUGUACUUAGUAUUUAAGAUUUAUUACAGGCAUCUUACAAAAAUGAUGUGUGAAUUGGGUAGGGUUUUUCUUCCAGUACUAAGAUACACUAGGCAGAUACUCUGUCACUGACCUAUAUCCAGAUUUAAUUUUUUUAUUCUUUGCGUGAGUGUGUGAAAUUAUUUGCUUAUGGGUUACAUAUUGCUACAGUGUGUGUAAAUAGAGACUAGAGGACAGCUUUGUGGAUUUGGUUCUCUCUUGCCAUCUUUAUAUGGGAUCAAACUCAUAUCAUUAAGCUUGUGGCACAAAUACCUUGACUUAGGCAACUCAUUGGCCAGAGGCUCUUUAAAAAUAUUUUAGUUCUGUGUCUGGGUCUCCUUAAGCUUUCCAGGCUGGUUUUGAAUCUGUUAUGUAGGUCCAGGAGGUCCUUGAAUUUACAAUCCUCCUGCCUCAGCUUCCUGAGUGGCUAAGAAUGUAGGUAUGUGCUAACAGGACAAAGGGAAGGAAAUACUUUAGAUUAAUAUUCCAUGUAAGCAAAGCAUGGUAAGGAAAUGUGAAUUCUGGAUCAGAUCUAGUAAGUCAGGCGUGGCUGAGAAGUCCUCUCACUAUUGUUGCUGCUAUUGGGAAUCUUCAUGAUGAGUUCUCUGUCUGAUCAGUAUUUAUUGAUUAAACUUGAGGGGCUAUAUCUUUAUGAAAACACAUAUGUACACAUAUGAACAUCUAUAUGAACAAAUAUGUAUAUACAUCUUAUGAGCACAUGUGUACAUCUAUAUGAAGACACAUACAUACAUCUACAUGAGCACACAUAUGUACAUCUAUAGAACACACAUAUGUACAUCUAUAUGAAUACAUACAUACAUCUAUAUGAACAUGCAUAUGUACAUCUAUAUGAACACACAUGUACAUCUAUAUGAGCAUACAUAUAUACAGCUAUAUGAACACACAUACAUACAUCUACAUGAGCACACAUAUGUACAUAUAUAUGAAUACACAUGUACAUUUAUAUGAGCACACAUAUGUGCAACCAUAUAAACAUACAUAGAAACAUUUGGAAGUAUCAAAUUAAUUUUCCAUCCUUAUUGAUAUUAUUUAUUUGUGUCUACAUAAAUAGAAAUGCUCAAAUGACCAUUCCAUAUCAUUUAUGUUAAGAUGAUCGGGGAUAAAGGGAUUCUUAAUACUGUUUUCUCUUAUGGUUGGAUAAUUGGAAUAUAUGAGACAGAAAGUGAAGCAUAUACUAUUCUCAUGUAUGAUAUAUAUAUCAUAUAUAUACAUACAGAUAUAAUAUUCAUUAAAAACAAGAGAAAUAUACUUUAUGAUUUGCUCUUAUUUCCAAUGUGAUUUUGCUUUUAGCAGAUACACCCUUCUUUUGUAACACUCCGCGAGUAGCUUCCUACAGAUUUUCUAAUUUGUUAUAAUUCUUACACAUGGGACUUGGUAUAUAGAUAUAUAUUUUUUCCCACUCCCGUUUAUUCAAAUUAAAAGUGUAUUAGAGAUUCUGUCAUGAAAUGACUUCAUCUUGUCAUUUCAUCUUUCAUUCUAGUAAUGAAAGUUUUAUUAUGAUUCAUACCGUACUUGAAUACUGUUGUUUUUAUGAAAAAUCUAGGAAUUGAUUAUUUUGUUGUUUUUGGAGGCAGGAUGUGAUUAGUCACAGAAUUAACCUCUGGGGGUGGGAGUGUUAGUUUUUAUCACACACUGAAAUAGAUUAAAUGUAGGAAUGCUACACUCAAAACAAGUUUGGGGACCAUGAAGGGACUUGGCUAAUGUUUAAGAGAGAAGAGAAGCACUGUACCCUGUAAGGCAGAGGAGCCUUAAUUUUUAGCCUGACGUUUCAUGUGAAAAAUUAGUGUUUUCUUCACUCCUUUAGGACACUGAACCAUCCAGGUUAACCCCCAAACAUGCUGACAGGUCCAAGAGAAGCCACAACACGAUUCUGUGAACUGACAGGUCCAGGUCUUCCGGGUGAGAAUCAUCCGUUCUCUGUCAAGAAAAACCCUGUGAUACUAGGAAUGGAAUUCGGUGGGAGCAGGUUGAGUCAGCAUUUUUAUUCUGAUUUAGUGAUUUAAUUUCAACAAGAUCAUGAUUAUAUUGGCUCUGGUGUUCAAAUGUCAAGGAAGAAAAAACAUGCAAAAUAACUCUACCAGUGUGGAAUCCAAGGAAACAAACAAAACCCAGGGUGCAGUAGCUGCUGAAGGUUCCCCUCCAUGACUGUCUGUCACAUGACUGACAGAGGAGAACAUGGCAAACUCCCACAUCCCGCGUUCUUUAACAGGGCUGCAUUUCUACCUUGGGAUCCCAUAAAGUGAAAUUUGAGCCAUUUUGACUUAUACGCAAUACGGCAUGUGACACAUCUUUAGUGUUUAGAAACACUAAAACAAACUAGAACCUCUCCUUAUGGGUUUCUGGGAACCACAAGGAAGAUGGACAUACUUCCAACAUGCUUUAUUAACACUCUAGAAGUCCCGUUUUCCUAGCCCCUCUUCCCAAAGCUGCACUUUCUUGUGUCUCAGGCUUACAUACCCGUUUGCAUACCCAGGACUAUUUUCUGCUACCAAGAGCGGCUGAGCCCGAAGAGCACAGUUCUGCUGCCUCUGGCUCUAAACUGGUAAGCAGAUGGGCUCCAGAGUCCCCUGGAGGAGGGGCAUUCCCCUUCAGCCUACGGUGUUCAUUACUGGUGAAGUUUUGAUCAAGUUUAUGUGUCAAGCACUCCCGCACAUCAGCUCCACAGAGGAGCAGGACAAGCCAUUGUGAAAGGCAUCACCAUUUCAACCAAAAGGCGCACAUCCAUUGCUUUGUUUGAAGGUGCCUUUCAUCUCUCCUCCGUCAGGGGCCGAGCAUCGGAGCCACGUUCACAUUCACAGUCGCUGUGAAGGGGAUUUUCCACUCAGGUUCCGGGAAGGUCACUGAUUAGGCCAGUAAACCCCGAUUUCCUUAAUCUGUGAGAAAACCAUAAAUGUGCUCCUUGAAGACGUUUAAAAUAACUCUGUGACAUUAGCGUCAGGACAAACUCCAAACAGCUAAAAUGAUUGAACUCAGUCAGCUUUCAAAUUCGCUCCUACCAAUCAGCUGGUUUUUAUGAGUGUGACAUUGGUGUCUCCCCCAACUGAGUUAUGUUUUAUUAAAGCUUACCUAUGUGUUACAUGCAUACAGCCCUGAGGAUGUUACUUUUCAAAAUUAAAACCGAUUAGUACAAAGUAAUUUUUGUUCUACAAAAUAAUUUCUUCUGUGAGGAAGAUGCUGAAUGACUAAUAAAACGGGAACUAAUUGUACUUUA
This is a non-coding RNA of Rattus norvegicus (Norway rat), 5156 nucleotides long. Lineage: Eukaryota; Metazoa; Chordata; Mammalia; Rodentia; Muridae. The record is from RefSeq and is a predicted model, not a curated record.